Molecule: ribosomal RNA, 486 nt
Filed under: Triticum aestivum (bread wheat)
Lineage: Eukaryota; Viridiplantae; Streptophyta; Magnoliopsida; Poales; Poaceae
Description: partial small subunit ribosomal RNA
Source: RNAcentral
AUGAUCAAAGGGUGCGCGGCCAUGAAGAUGAUCAAAGGUCCUUGUGUUCGCCGGGGAAGGAUGGCAGGCCCGGUCCAGAGCAUCACCCGGGCGGAGAUCGACCGUUUCUGGAGGAGAAAGAAGCUGGAGGAAGAGGAACGCCGGCUCGAUGACGAGAAGGAGGCUGCAAGGAUCAAACUCAAGACUCUCAAGCAAGAAGAUUACAUGCUUUUUGUACAAAGGAUAGACGGGAUUAUAGACGAGAAAGCAGAGACAAGCGAGAUGAUGGAGGAGGGAGAGAUCGCCAGGAACAUUGAGAUACAAAUUGGCAUCAAGCAUUGGUGGAGGAAGAGCAGCUGCGCAUAUCUAAAUGAACCAGCAGUAGCAUCCGUUGAUGAUAACAGCAGUUGGAAGGCGAACACCGGAUAUAUUCCGCAGAAGAUACAAUUUAGGUGCUCCCAGCCAGCACUUUACCAGAUGAACGUGGCUGCUUUUGGGAUCUUCUAA